CAUGCAGUCGAACGGUGAAGAGAGCUUGCUCUCUGGAUCAGUGGCGAACGGGUGAGUAACACGUGAGCAAUCUGCCCCUGACUCUGGGAUAACAGCUGGAAACAGCUGCUAAUACCGGAUACGAGCUGCGAAGGCAUCUUCAGCAGCUGGAAAGAAUUUCGGUCAGGGAUGAGCUCGCGGCCUAUCAGCUUGUUGGUGAGGUAAUGGCUCACCAAGGCGUCGACGGGUAGCCGGCCUGAGAGGGUGACCGGCCACACUGGGACUGAGACACGGCCCAGACUCCUACGGGAGGCAGCAGUGGGGAAUAUUGCACAAUGGGCGAAAGCCUGAUGCAGCAACGCCGCGUGAGGGACGACGGCCUUCGGGUUGUAAACCUCUUUUAGCAAGGAAGAAGCGAAAGUGACGGUACUUGCAGAAAAAGCGCCGGCUAACUACGUGCCAGCAGCCGCGGUAAUACGUAGGGCGCAAGCGUUAUCCGGAAUUAUUGGGCGUAAAGAGCUCGUAGGCGGUUUGUCGCGUCUGCUGUGAAAACCCGAGGCUCAACCUCGGGCCUGCAGUGGGUACGGGCAGACUAGAGUGCGGUAGGGGAGAUUGGAACUCCUGGUGUAGCGGUGGAAUGCGCAGAUAUCAGGAAGAACACCGAUGGCGAAGGCAGAUCUCUGGGCCGUAACUGACGCUGAGGAGCGAAAGGGUGGGGAGCAAACAGGCUUAGAUACCCUGGUAGUCCACCCCGUAAACGUUGGGAACUAGUUGUGGGGUCCAUUCCACGGAUUCCGUGACGCAGCUAACGCAUUAAGUUCCCCGGCCUGGGGAGUACGGCCGCAAGGCUAAAACUCAAAGGGAAUUGACGGGGACCCGCACAAGCGGCGGAGCAUGCGGAUUAAUUCGAUGCAACGCGAAGAACCUUACCAAGGCCUUGAACAUAUAGAGGAAAACGUCUUGGAAACAAUCGCCCCGCAAGGUCUCCU
This 968-nucleotide ribosomal RNA is filed under the name Microbacterium sp. U50. RNAcentral's name for it is "bacterial SSU rRNA". It matches the Rfam family "Bacterial small subunit ribosomal RNA", at positions 54 to 1030 of the family's 1533-position model. The record is from RNAcentral. Lineage: Bacteria; Bacillati; Actinomycetota; Actinomycetes; Micrococcales; Microbacteriaceae.